This 1163-nucleotide ribosomal RNA is filed under the name Monothalamids sp. RNAcentral's name for it is "SSU rRNA". It matches the Rfam family "Eukaryotic small subunit ribosomal RNA", at positions 1160 to 1677 of the family's 1831-position model. The record is from RNAcentral. Lineage: Eukaryota; Foraminifera.
AAGGGCACCACAAGAACGCGUGGAGCAUGUGGCUUAAUUUGACUCAACGCGGGAAAUCUUACCGGGUCCGGACACACUGAGGAUUGACAGGCAAUCUUGCGAGUGCGCUGAGCUUUAGUUUUACCAGCUAUUGCCGAGCUGCUCGCAUCUAAAUACGCUAGUCCUUUCAUGAUUAUGUGAUAGGUGGUGCAUGGCCGUUCUUAGUUCGUGGAGUGAUCUGUCUGCUUAAUUGCGUUUCGCACGGGACUUGAUAAUCAAGUGUGCUAUUUCUCUUGUGCCACCAACGAGCACGACUCGGUGCGCUUAUGACUGCGAGUGUUUACCCCGGCUUUAGUGUAUCUGCCUGCGAAGCGCCCUCACGGCGUGGAGCUGGGCGGGACGCGGUUGCUUGCUAUCUUGCGCGGUCUCAGAGCCUUGUCCCGCUUUCGGAGGCGCGUUUGGGGAGGUAUGUGCACAUUAGGUCCUGAAAGCAACGAACGUGACCGCAUCCUCUUUGUUGCCUUUUACCUAAACCAGCUUCGUGUCCGCAAUGUCUUAGCGCGGUGAGCUUCGGCUCUGCCGUCUGCGGGGCUGCGUGGACUCUUAGUGCGUUUUAACAAAAGAGGCUUAAUUUCUCCUGUACCAGCAGGAGGGAAUAAAACUAGAGGGACCGCUGCGACUUUUUUAAACCAGAGGAAGGUUGCGGCAAUAACAGGUCUGUGAUGCCCUUAGAUGUUCCGGGCUGCACACGUGCUACAAUGGUUAUUGCAAUGAGCAUCUAUUUUCAAUUACGUCGUUAAUCAAUGGACUAUUGCGGGAAGCGCGCUUGCGUGUGGAACGCAGGACCUCCGUAGAUUCGGCUCAGCCUGCUUCGAAAGUUAGCAGGUAAUCAAUUGGAAGUAAUGAUUUCCCCAAUUUCAGAAUUUCUUUUAAUUUUGAUUUUACGAGCACACAAUAUGUUGCUCCCUUCCAGGCGUUUUACCGAUCUUACCGUGUAGCUCGCCUGCUGUAGGGAUGUUUUGUUAUUUAUAACGAAUUUACAGCAUGUGCUUUUUGUCAAUUCGUGGUGGGGACAGACCAUUGUUAAUUGUUGGUCUCGGUCUUAACUAGGAAUGCCUUGUACGGGUCUUUGGUUCAACAAACCACCCGGAAUACGUCCCUGCCCUUUGUACACACCGCCCGUC